UACAGAGGUCCCGAGCGUUGUUCGGAUUCAUUGGGCGUAAAGGGUGCGUAGGCGGCGUGGUAAGUCUGAUGUGAAAUCCCGGGGCUCAACCCCGGAACUGCAUUGGAUACUGCCAUGCUAGAGUACUGGAGAGGAAACUGGAAUUUACGGUGUAGCAGUGAAAUGCGUAGAGAUCGUAAGGAAGACCAGUGGCGAAGGCGAGUUUCUGGACAGUAACUGACGCUGAGGCACGAAGGCCAGGGGAGCAAACGGG
RNAcentral lists this ribosomal RNA (253 nucleotides) under uncultured bacterium. Its description in RNAcentral is "partial 16S ribosomal RNA". It matches the Rfam family "Bacterial small subunit ribosomal RNA", at positions 524 to 776 of the family's 1533-position model. The record is from RNAcentral.